CAAACCCUCGCCUUUCCUAGAGGGGGAUAACAUUUGGAAACAAAUGCUAAUACCGCAUAAGAUUACAGUACCGCAUGAUACAGUGAUCAAAGGAGCAAUCCGCUGAAAGAUGGGCUCGCGUCCGAUUAGAUAGUUGGUGAGGUAACGGCUCACCAAGUCGACGAUCGGUAGCCGGACUGAGAGGUUGAACGGCCACAUUGGGACUGAGACACGGCCCAG
Molecule: ribosomal RNA, 219 nt
Filed under: uncultured bacterium
Lineage: Bacteria
Description: partial 16S ribosomal RNA
Rfam family: Bacterial small subunit ribosomal RNA
Source: RNAcentral